This 433-nucleotide long non-coding RNA is filed under the name Anas platyrhynchos platyrhynchos (common mallard). RNAcentral's name for it is "lncRNA (ENSAPLG00000019212.1)". Lineage: Eukaryota; Metazoa; Chordata; Aves; Anseriformes; Anatidae. The record is from RNAcentral.
UGAAGAUCAGAAAUAAACACUAAACUCUUGCUAAUGGAAGAGUUUUUGCCUACUUUGAUUGUGGAAGGUGAGGAUUUGAGCUGAAGACUCAGUGCAGAAGAUGACCUUUCUCCAGCUGGUGGACAGCAGUUCCAUGUAUCUUGUCAGUAACUCUUGAGAUCGGCUUCAUAGAGACACCAUUACCAGAAUCCAUCCAGGGACACCUUUGCACUCUCUCCACUAACAUUGAAGAGUCCUGAUGAAGCCACUGGUUCUCUGCAGGGCCAUGGACAAGUCACCCAUAUGACUCAUGACACCCAUAUGACAUAUUACUAGGACUGGUACAACACUGUAGAAAAAUCUAAAGACAGAGUGAAUAGUGUGUAUGCACAUGUGGGUAGCUUCAAAUUUAUCUAGCACAGAAGUUAAAUCAAUAAAUUUGCAGGUUUAUCUC